CCUCCGGCGGGCGGCAGCUGCCGGGCCCCGCACCGCCCCGCCCCGCCCGGCGGCGGGCGGCACCCGGCGGGGCCCCGGGCGCGGCGCGGCCGCUGCGGGCGACGCGAGGCCGGGCCGAGGGGCGCGGGGAGGGAAGGGGCCGGUUACCUUCGGGGUUGGCGCUGAUGAAGACGCGGACGCUCCUGCCGCUCGGCACCAGAUACUGCAGGAGGAAAAGUUCUCCAUCUGUUCCGAAUCCAGAAAAAGUCCUUAAUCUGGGAGACAAGCACGGAGAGAAAAAGGGAGUUUCUCUGCAUGAGUCCAGUUGUUCUACUGCAGAAAUGAUGGCCGUGGAUUUCUGUCUCUAGUCUACUGUAUCUAAUGCCGAUUUCUGUAAGCUGAUGGAGCAUGCAGUACGCUAUCACCAAAUGCUGUCGUGGACAUGUUUUGCAACCAUCGCUGUGCCACAGUUGUACAGUGCUGUGCUCUGAAGUGUUAUGAAGGCCCUGAGGCAGCCUGAAUGUAAGAGCAUUCGCUGAAGAAUCGUGAAGACAACUAUCAUCAUCUGAGGGUUAACUUUACUUUGAAGUAAUCACUAUUCCCAAAUAAAAUCUGUCAUGUGGGUCA
Dromaius novaehollandiae (emu) is the source of this 606-nucleotide long non-coding RNA. RefSeq lists it as uncharacterized. Lineage: Eukaryota; Metazoa; Chordata; Aves; Casuariiformes; Dromaiidae. The record is from RefSeq and is a predicted model, not a curated record. The transcript is spliced from 2 exons.